AGCUUGUUCUCUAUGUUGCCUGCUCGUCCGUCGUCGUCGCGAGCUCCUCCCUCGCCGUCGUCGUCGGUGCCUGCUCUUCCCUCGCCUGUCCUCGGCCCUGCAUGGGGAUCAACCUCUACGUCCCCUCGCAUGAACAAUAAUACGUCGCCGCCGCCCUCUUUUUCUCACCACCACGCACGCCGAUCCGCACUGCGCCGCCGCCGCCGUACGCCCGUACUCACCAACCGUAUCGCGGACCACUCAACCACUCCGUACCUACGUGGGUCUCCAUUGACGAUCCAAAUUGGAUGCCUGCCACUGUCCUCCGCCCAGGCUGCCUGCUUUCAAAUCACCUUCGAACAUCCUCCGACGGUAUGUAUACUUUUGGGCGAUCCAUUCAAAUGUGUGCAUGUUGCUAGCUGCCUAGCUGAUCCAAUCGACUGCCUGCGUACACCUAAAAAGUUUCUGGCUGGCCGAUCCAAUAAAAGGUUUCCAGCAGCAAGUUUGUUCCAGCGUGGCAGUGCAUGCGUAUGACUUUGGAGUUUGGAGAGCCAUGACUAUUAAAAAUGAUUGCUCAAAGUCUAAGCAAAAGUUCCAUCCGUCAGAGGGCUACCAAGUGGCUGGCAACAGCGUUUGCGCGGCGACUGACACCGGCUCGAGCUGCACCGACCUGAGCCCCCUUUCCAUCCGCCGGUGAUCAAUGUUGGUCUGCGGGUUUAACCUGGACAGAUCCAUCGUCAAACGUCGACCUACAUGUACGUGGUUAUGACAUGGUCUUUUGUUGUUCGAUCGGUUCAGUGCAUCCUACCAUAUGAAUUUCCAGUACACCUAAUUCAGUUUCAGGAUUUAGGGAUGCAUUUGUAGCACUGUUUCAUGUUGUAGAGUGCAUAUGCAUUUGUUUGAAACAUUGAGUUUACAGCUAUAAAAUCAGGAUUUCCUGCGACAGAGAUGGUUCACACCCUUCAGUUCAAAAUCAGGAUUUCCUGUGAUUGAAAGCUUGAAUUUCGGACGGCUACAAAAGCAACCAUGGUUAUAUACUGGAAUAGAAAAACAAUUGAGGCUGUAAAUUGAUUGCGACAAGCUUUUUACUGCAGUAAUAAUAUCCAACAUGAGACUACUUUAAUCCUUUUUGGAACUUCAGGACUUAGUUAUAAAGUUGACACGUGCUAUCUCUGUAACCCCGAUACUUCAACAUGACCCCGUAUCACAUAUCCGAUACGUAUCUGUGUAUCCGUAUCCGAUACUCCGAUACACCUUUGUGCCUUUAAGUUUUGCAGAAAUUUGACGUAUCCACGUAUCCGUAUCGGGCCGAUACUGAUACGCCUAUCCGUAUCGGUGCUACAUAGCGUGCUAUAUUAUAUCAGCGUUUUGCAGUGAAAGAAAAGGCUAAUGGAAUCAAUAGAAAGAAAAAUCAUGUGGUGAAUGAUAACAUACUUUGCCAUGCUUUGUCUCUGUUUCUAGAACUUGAAGUUUGAAUAAUGUUUAUUGCCAUGGCUAAUAGAUUUCCUCUACUGUUAUAGGGCCUAAAUUUAGGAACUCAGGUAUUUGGAGUGUGGUGAAUAAAUUCUCUGUGCCAGCUUUGUACAAAUCAUACAAAAUUGUUUGGGUUAUUAAGUUCAGCUAAUCUCUACCGCGAUAGGUUUAUUUAACCAAAAUUUUGUAUGCCAAACAUACCUCAACUACAACUGGUAUAGAUAGAGUUAUAUACACAUCAACAAAAAUUGGGCAUAUUGCAUUACUAAUAAGAUGAAAAAAGUUAUCAUGGAGGCAGUUGAUCGAAAAAAGUUAUCAUAUUGUGUCAUCGGGAAGGCAUGAGGGGCCAUGGUGGCAUCCUUGGCAGCUGUGGUGCUGUUGCAAUUGGAUGGGCAAAAUAAGAUAAUAAUAUUUGGUAAUAAAAGAGAGAUGAAUUUGUGUAAAUAAAUCAAUUUUUUGUAAUCCCACCUAGAUUUAUUAUGUUUUUAUUUUCUUUACACAUAGGACAUUAUUUGCAUCGAGGAUACAUGAAACUCUUGUGUGUUUUCAGUUGAUCUACUGAUAUAAGCAGCAGAGAAGCAUGCAUGUUUGGUCCAAGUGGCCUACUAGGUAGAAGGAAUCUUGAUAUAUUCUUGUUUGAAACAUUGUAUGAUUGAGUGAACGUGCUUUCUUUAUAUGCUUGCAUUGUACGUGUAUAUAGCCCUUUUCUAAGGUAUGCUUUUUCAGUUGAUCUAUUAAGAGUAAAAUGCACUUUGGGUACCUAAACUAUUACAUGGGCAUUAGAUAGGUACUCCAACUCAUAAACAUAACAGAUAGGUACUCAAACUAUAAACUAUUUUGUAGGUACCAGAUAGGUGCUCCAACCCAAAAAUGUAACAGUUAAGUACUCAAUCUGUUUAGUUAGCUAGCAUGCUGCUGUGUGACGUCCGAGCGAGUGCGUUUAAUGUCGAGCGCAUACGAAAUGAAAUCAUGCAUGCGGCAAUAGUAAACGGUGGUGUUAUCUAAUUCCUAGUGAUUCAUGCAUGCUGGUCGAAAAUAAUAAAAGGCACUGGCGCUUUUUACAACAGCAUUGCAGGAACCAUGUCAGGCUAGUGUUAUUAUAAAUUCAUAAUAUUCAGCCGUGAUGCAAGAAUAUUUAGGCAAGUAAAUUGUGCAGUUUUUUUCUAAACUAUUAAUAUGGUCAAGCACAAGAAUGAAAAACAAACCCUAUAUGAUAUUAAAAACAAUUACUAACUCCACCUGAUUCUAGAUGAGGAAAUCUUUAUUAUUAAUAUUAUAAAUUCGUCCAUAAAUAAUUCUAGACAAGCCCUUGCACAAUAAUCUCAGGAUGAGGAAUUGCUUUGUUAUUACCAUUAUUAUUUAUCGAUGAGGAAUUAAAUGCCACCACCGUUUGCUACUGCCGCAUGCAUGAUUUCAUUUCUUUUGCGCUCGACAUUAAACGGACAUCAUGCAGCAGCAUGCUAGCUGACGGGUGAUCAACAUAAAUAAACUGAGUACUUGAUUGUUA
Panicum virgatum (switchgrass) is the source of this 2959-nucleotide long non-coding RNA. RefSeq lists it as uncharacterized. The record is from RefSeq and is a predicted model, not a curated record. Lineage: Eukaryota; Viridiplantae; Streptophyta; Magnoliopsida; Poales; Poaceae. The transcript is spliced from 2 exons.